UGUGCGGUGUUACAUGACCUUGUUGGAUAUGCUGUGGAAAAAGCGAACGAAUGGGCGUACGAACAAACCCGACUUCCCAGUGAAAGUGUUAAACUAGACUUUCAACACUUUUUAGACACAAAAAUAAAUUUCCACAAGAGAGACACAGUGAAAAAGAGUAGAGCGGAGUGGGGUCCAACUAUGAUUAGCAUUGGAACUCAUUCGAGCGCUUGGCAAAUGGCAAAGCACAAUCGUUGAUCCAGCCAUUAAGAGAUUUAAAAGCGUGUGUUUUAGCCAGCAAAGAGGAUGCAUAAAGGUAACAUACAACAGACACCGGCGCAAAGAGAGACGAACACAAAACACCAUUAUCCCAAAUAGUAAUUACUCUCACGAAACGGCGGUAUACAACGAAUGACACAAGGAUGGGGACGUCAACGAGCUUUUAGGAAAUGAUAAUGAAAAUGAGCGGAUUUGUAUGAAGCAAAAUGAGGAUGAGUAUGCCUUGGACUUAGGUGAGAGCAACUGAAAAGAUAUGUAAAUUAUAUUAGAAAAUAAAAUAAAAAUUUCAUAAUUAAUAAAAAAUAAUUUGAAAAAAAUUUGUAAUAAUAAUGAAAAUAAUUCAAAAAUGUAAUAAAAAAUUUGAAUCAUUAAAAUUAAAAAAUAUUAUAAAUAAUUAAAAGUGGGUAACAUAUGUAUGAUUAGAUAAUAAAAAAAUAUAUAAAAUAAAAAAUUUAAUUUCCUUAAAUUUUUUUAUUUGAAGAAUUGUAUUUGUUUUAUUGAAAAGUUGCUAGCAACAUAUAAGUUUAAGGAUCGCAGGAAACUUUAUUGCUAGCGAAAUCAAUACUUUCUAUUAGUAAUAAUCUUUGUUUAAAUAUUUAGUUUUUUCUGAAAAUAUUGUCAUCAUUCUUUUCAUAGCAACAUUAUUGCUAGCUCUUUUAAAAUGUUGCUA
Molecule: long non-coding RNA, 928 nt
Organism: Zeugodacus cucurbitae (melon fly)
Lineage: Eukaryota; Metazoa; Arthropoda; Insecta; Diptera; Tephritidae
Exons: 3
Source: RefSeq, a predicted model, not a curated record